RNAcentral lists this ribosomal RNA (498 nucleotides) under uncultured bacterium. RNAcentral's name for it is "partial 16S ribosomal RNA". It matches the Rfam family "Bacterial small subunit ribosomal RNA", at positions 28 to 508 of the family's 1533-position model. The record is from RNAcentral.
GAUGAACGCUGGCGGCGUGCCUAAUACAUGCAAGUCGAGCGAACAGACGAGGAGCUUGCUCCUCUGACGUUAGCGGCGGACGGGUGAGUAACACGUGGAUAACCUACCUAUAAGACUGGGAUAACUUCGGGAAACCGGCGCUAAUACCGGAUAAUAUAUUGAACCGCAUGGUUCAAUAGUGAAAGACGGUUUUGCUGUCACUUAUAGAUGGAUCCGCGCCGCAUUAGCUAGUUGGUAAGGUAACGGCUUACCAAGGCAACGAUGCGUAGCCGACCUGAUAGGGUGAUCGGCCACACUGGAACGGAGACACGGUCCAGACUCCUACGGGAGGCAGCAGUAGGGAAUCUUCCGCAAUGGGCGAAAGCUUGACGGAGCAACGCCGCGUGAGUGAUGAAGGUCGUCGGAUCGUAAAACUCUGUUAUUAGGGAAGAACAAAUGUGUAAGUAACUAUGCACGUCUUGACGGUACCUAAUCAGAAAGCCACGGCUAACUACGUGC